Molecule: long non-coding RNA, 1463 nt
Organism: Apodemus sylvaticus (European woodmouse)
Lineage: Eukaryota; Metazoa; Chordata; Mammalia; Rodentia; Muridae
Exons: 3
Source: RefSeq, a predicted model, not a curated record
UUCUCUUCUGAGAGGUGGAGCCCAUCAUUUCCCUCCCACCCUGGUACAUCAAGUCUCUGCAGGGUUAGGUGCAUCUUCUCCCACUGAGACCAGACAAGGCAGCCCAGUUAGCAGAACAAGAUCCACAGACAAGCAACAGAGUUAGGGACAGCACCUGCUCCAGUUGUCGGGGGACUCUCAUGAAGUCGGAACUGAGCAUGUGCUACGUGCUACAAAUGUGCCAGGGGUGAGGUAAGGUCCAGCCAUGCAUGCUUUUUGGAUGGUGAUUCAGCCUCCAAGAGUCACUCCCAAAGGUCCAGGUAAAAUGACAUAUAGGAAUGAGAGGCGCUUGUACACCUGAGAGCUGACCACAGGGGAAAUACCUCCCCAAUCCGCACCCCCAAACAAUAAUUGAAAACCUUUCCAACUUUGCCAUCUAGAUACACUCACAUUCUGACAGGUUGGAGGCUGAGGCUUCUGCACCUGAACUUGAACAGGAUCCAGGGCAUCCAGUGAAGCUCCAGGACUGUACACAUCUGACUGCGCACAGAGAGGUCUUCCCGCUUCCGCGAACAGGGCUAUAGGCGGUAGGGAACCCAGUCGACACCAGCAGUCUCUGCACCUGGACCUUCUUCUUGUGAGGCCACAGGGGGAAAAGGAGGCCCUCUUCUUUCUCCCUAUAUGCCAGAGAACCCCCAAUCUGUCCCCAGGAUCUGGCCCAGAUGGAACAUUUCCCUCCCUGGAGCUGUUGCUGGGAAUUCAUAGGCCCUGCACCUGGGUUUUCUGAUUCAAAUAUGAGAGGCUCACAAGGAACCGCUAGGUAGGCCUCCUCCCCUGUGCUGCCUGUGCUUAGAGCAGGUCAAGUGGCAAUCAUGGAUGCUGUCAACAGAGCUUCUGUUCUCACAAGUACUUAGCCUCUUGUUUUAAAAUGACCAUGCUCAGGCUGUCCAUUGUCACAAAGAAUGAACUCUUGAAGACGUGUAACUGUUACUUGGCAGAAGUCACCAUUGGGGUUGUGUGUGCCAUGCCUUUGGCACAUUUGUGACAUGUUCCUCAUGACAAUGUCACAUGGAAUACAGCCCUGAAAUCUCUUUUGUCAUUUCUUUUUACUGCCAACCCCUCAGCCCUUAGCUAUUGCCAAAGAACAGCUCUUACACUGCCUUUCCCCCUGCUCUGGCAUUGACUUUUGGUCCUUUCUGGACAAAGUAUCCUUGGCAAGAUAGCCAGGUGCUGAGGUAUGCUCUUAAAUGUAUGUACUGAAAUUCCAGGAUGUGUCAACUAAGUGGGACCAAGAGGGAGGUCUGGGUGUGACUCAAGAGUCCAAUAAUUACCAGUCUGUUUCCAGCUCUUUUUUUAGUACUGAUGUUAAAUAACCAUCCGAUGGAGUUCAGGAGAAAAAAACUCAGCCAUCCUUUCUAUGCUGUCCUACAUUGUCUCUGUUCAUGAUAUCCCCACCCUUAGAAGAAUAAAACCCUCGAGUGUCA